This 491-nucleotide ribosomal RNA is filed under the name uncultured bacterium. Its description in RNAcentral is "bacterial SSU rRNA". It matches the Rfam family "Bacterial small subunit ribosomal RNA", at positions 15 to 507 of the family's 1533-position model. The record is from RNAcentral.
GAUCCUGGCUCAGGAUGAACGCUAGCGGCAGGCCUAACACAUGCAAGUCGAGGGGUAGAGUUCUUCGGGACUUGAGACCGGCGCACGGGUGCGUAACGCGUAUGCAAUCUACCUUAUACAGGGGAAUAGCCCAGAGAAAUUUGGAUUAAUGCCCCAUAGUGUUAUAGAAUCGCAUGGUUUUAUAACUAAAGUUCCAACGGUAUAAGAUGAGCAUGCGUCCCAUUAGUUAGUUGGUAAGGUAACGGCUUACCAAGACAAUGAUGGGUAGGGGUCCUGAGAGGGAGAUCCCCCACACUGGUACUGAGACACGGACCAGACUCCUACGGGAGGCAGCAGUGAGGAAUAUUGGUCAAUGGGCGCAAGCCUGAACCAGCCAUGCCGCGUGAAGGAAGACGGUCCUAUGGAUUGUAAACUGCUUUUAUAUGGGAAGAAUAGCAUAGAUUCAUCUGUGUAUGACGGUACCAUAUGAAUAAGCACCGGCUAACUCCGUG